Long non-coding RNA from Hordeum vulgare subsp. vulgare (domesticated barley), 1574 nucleotides. RefSeq lists it as uncharacterized. The record is from RefSeq and is a predicted model, not a curated record. The transcript has 8 exons. NCBI's taxonomy places the organism in Eukaryota, Viridiplantae, Streptophyta, Magnoliopsida, Poales, Poaceae.
CCAAAGAAUUACUACUGAAGCCACACCGAAUAAUCUGGAGGUCGCCCAGUGAGAGAAGGCUGCUCGCCAGCGCCGUUGCUCCACCCCUCCCCCUUAUCUGUUGCCCAUCUCCUCUGGAUCUCACCCGGUGUUUUUUCUUCUAUCUCUCCCUCACGCAACAGCAAUGAAAAAAGCAGCGGCAGCACCGCAGCCACGGUCAGGGCAAAAGGAGUCGCGGCGGCUAAGCAGGCUGCCUCCACAUUCACCCACCGUGCAAAGGACAGGCUGCCAACGCUUGGCAUGUGUCCACCAUUUCUCCUUCUCUAACGUGAUGUUUAGCCUGUGCUGAUUGCCUGUUUAUGGGCUGAUUUGUUCUGAUUGGGCUGGCCUUAUUUUCUACGCCUUGCUUUUUUCUUUUCUAAUACGGAGUGUUCGAGGGACGCCCUCUUUCGCCGUCCUUCCGUCUGUUCGCAUGGCGGCGGCGGAUCGACCGCCACGAGGUGGGCGAGAGCGAUCCUCUGCUUUCUUGCCGCGAGAAGGCCCUUGUUUCACUCCUUCAGUUUCAGAUGGGCCCAUCAGCUCUGCUGAAGCACGGCGCCGUCAUCAAGAUAUUCGGCGGGGGAAGCGUCCCGUUGAAGACAAUUCAUUUAAGAAAUGUGUACCUCUAACUUCAGCAGUGUGCGGGUCUUCCCAUCGCUGUCCAGCGCGAAGACAAUCCAUUUAAGAAAUGUGUACGUCUAAUUUAGUGUGCGGGUCUUCUUCCAUCGCUGUCCAGCGCGAUUUUCCUACAUUACGGUUUUCAUCAUUUAGUAGUGUUUCGUUGCAACAACCUGUUUAUACUUCCAUAACCUUCGGGCCAUCUUUGUUUCGGGUUUUAGAACUGUCUCAUGCGCCUACCCGACACCGUUGGUGUUUCCUCUCCCGUAUGUCCAUCCUCUUCAAGCUGGAUUGAACAGGAGGAAGAGAAAAUUUAUUUGGAAACAUCGAUCAAGCAAACUUAGAAUUAAAAAACUUGCGCCUCCAUUUUCCAAAGAUCACAUUGAUUUGUUGAAAGGUAGAUGUUUUUAGCCUUCUUUCACGGUGUAACAUACAGUUACUACACCAGCAUCCUCGGGAAAGUCAUUAGACGAAACGCCCACUUCACAAAGCAAGAAGAGACAACAAAACAAGGACGGACUCUCACCACGUAAAAAGAGAGCCACGUCGCCAAGCAGUUAUUCACCUUCGAAAGUGAUCAAGAAAAAGCUGAAGCUGAUCAAGAGAAGGCUCAAGAUAUGCCAUCCAAGUGAUGAAGGAGCUCCACACACCAAAUUCUAAGAUAAAUCAAACUACGCUCCCACCAUGGCAGACCCCAACACUGAAGAACCACCGUUCUUAGUAUUGUAAACAUAUGUGUAUCUCAUUUCAUCUGAACUUUCUGCCUCUUUUGAACUAUACAGCUAUCACUUGGGCUGCCUGUAGCCUACCAGUUUGUUCCGUAGUUGAUCCCCUAUGUAUAAGCACAACCUUAAUCUAUGAUCGUCAUAGAUGUACUUAAUCUAUGAUCGUCAUAGAUGUAAUGGCAUACUAGCUAUUCUGUGUAUGAUUGUGUCAGC